This 975-nucleotide ribosomal RNA is filed under the name Triticum aestivum (bread wheat). Its description in RNAcentral is "partial small subunit ribosomal RNA". Lineage: Eukaryota; Viridiplantae; Streptophyta; Magnoliopsida; Poales; Poaceae. The record is from RNAcentral.
AUGGGUGAUCUGGGCGUCCGGGUUGUGGGCAGGGGCUGCGCCGCGCCCAUGGAGCCGCGCAAGGAGAUGGCGCCGUCGCCGCUGGAGCAGCAGCAGCAUCCUCCCCUCUUCAUGGAUUUCUCCCGGCGAGGUGGAGUCGCAGACGGAGGCAACGGGCGGAAGCGGCCGCGCGAGGCCGUGGCGCCGCCGGCACGCCUCUUCUCCCUGCAGGCGCCGCAGGGUUCCCCGGGGCACAAGGUGAUACACCUGGCGCAGCUGCACCGGCGGCCUGCGGCGACGGGCCUGCGGCUCGACUUCGACGAGGGAGUCUCGGAGCACGCGGCGUGCACGUCGUCGACGUCGUCCCUUCUCCCCGGCGAGCUCGCCGCUCAGUGCGGGCGGUACAACAACGAGAUCGACCGGCUGCUCCAGGAACACACGGAGAGACUCCGGCUUGCGCUGGCCGACACGAGGCGUCGGCAGAACCGGUCGCUGCUGGGCGCCGCAGAGGCGCUGGCCGCGCGGCGGGUCAGGGAGAUGGAGGCGGAGGCCUUCAAGGCGGCGCGGCGCGGCGUCGAGCUGGAGGAGCGGCUGGCGCGGCUGAGGGCGGAGGCGGCGUCGUGGCAAGCCAAGGCAAUGUCCGACCAGUCCACGGCGGCGGCGCUCCACGCGCAGCUGCAGCAGGCAGCGGCCACAGCGCAGGCGAGGAGCGGCAAGGCCGCCUUGGACGACGACGGCGCGGCAGGCGCGGCGGACGACGCCGAGUCCGGCUUCGUCGACCCGGACAGGGUGGUGGAGGUGGCGGCCCCGCCGCCGGCGGCCAGGCCGUGCCGCGCGUGCCGGCUCCGGCCGGCCACCACCGUGCUGCUCCCGUGCAGGCACCUCUGCGUGUGCGCCGCGUGCGAUCCCGGCGCCUCGGCCUCCCUCGCCGCCGCCGCGGCCUGCCCCGCGUGCCGCUGCCCCGUCACCGGCACCGUGCAGGUCUUCUUCGCGUGA